RNAcentral lists this long non-coding RNA (1563 nucleotides) under Homo sapiens (human). RNAcentral describes it as "HSALNT0338680". Lineage: Eukaryota; Metazoa; Chordata; Mammalia; Primates; Hominidae. The record is from RNAcentral.
CGUCUUUAGAUGAAUGCACAUUUAUACGUAGACAUAUAGCUUAGAAGGUAUUUAAGUGCUGGGAAACUUUGUAAUUUUGAGUUGGUCUGGCGAUAAUUUCCCGGCCUUCUCCCUGUAACUGGUUACUGAAAUAAAAACUCUCUUCCUCCCCAGUUCAUCUGCAUGUGGUUAUUGGGCCACAAGAAAUAGCAGCCCGACCCUCAGUUUGGUCCAGGAACAAAGUUUGGCAAGCCAGCCAGGAGAGACCAGGAUGGUGCUGUGGUCAGCGGCUUGCGACGAGACACUCUUCAGGAGGAUCUCAGCAGCUACUGGUGAGAUUUUCCCGGGGACCCUCCGGAGGACUGUCUGGUGUGCAACAUUUCAUGUCCCUUUCACUACUGGGGAAGAACGGAGAUCAGGAGCAGAUGCUCUCCAAGGAUACGUACAGAUGGAUUUUCCAUGUUACAACAUUACAGAGGGUGAAAUGUUUAUUCAGUAACAAACUUUAUGCCAUCCUGUGGAGGUGGGAAAAGAGGGAAAUGCCUGUAAUGAGAUAAAAGCCAUUGUCUUGGUUUAAAUUUAGAAAGGCUGUGUUUACAGGACUGAGCCACUGCCCUGACAAGAGAAAAGUUAACUGAGAAGACGCCUGGAAGAAGUUAACUAUUCAAACUAUGCAGAGUAGUAUUUUAGUCAUUAGUCGUGUCUUCUGCCAUGAAAAUACUUACAAGAAGGUGGCUCAUAUAUUGUCUUCAAAAACCACAUAUUCACUGAUGUUUUUUAGAGAACAGAUACAGCUGGUGGUAUUGGUGCCCUUCAGUCCCUUAGUGCCCUUCAGUCCCUUCAUUUCUGAUAACACGUCCCUCACCUAGAGAUGGCGCCGGUGCGCCUGGGGAGCCCAGGGCUCCAAGAGCUGCAACCACGGAUUCGGGAUUGCACAGAAGGAGACUCAGGUUAACUCAUGUGGCUGGAGUUAGAGUGGAUACUGUUUGUGUCAUCUGACAUUUGCUGUCUUUGAAAUCAUGCCUGACCUCAAACCAAAGAGCAGCUAAGUAGGCAAAUACAAAAUUCUCCAUAGCAUGCAGGGCUGGGGGUAGGAAAACGCUGCAUAAACGCGCUACCGCCCAUGUGCUGAAAUACGGCACUGGAUGCAGUUGCAGUGGGGACCCAGCGGGGGGUCUGCGGUGGGAUUCAGAGACGCGUCAACUGCGGACGAGGCAUCGCUGCUCCUUCUGGAGGAAAGAGGUCCACUGCAUCCACCCCCGACCGGGGACACUGCCACGUUGGGUCCGGCAUGGGUGCCUGAAUCUGACAGAUGAAACAUUUGGCCAUGGCGGAUCGCUCAUCAGGCAAUGCCCGGAUGAGUAGGGACCCGCCCUGCUGGGCCAGGAACUUCCAGGCAUCCACUGAGCCAGACUGUGGGGCUGAAAGCACCGGGGAGCAAGGCAUGGUGUGUACUUGAUUUGAUUUUUGCCUCAUCUGUAGGGGAGAUUCCAGGAGGAGCAAUAAUAUGUCAUAAAAAAAUUUCAUUUUCACUGUCAUAACUCCCACUUCACAAACCAGGGUGCCCACUCCACAGUCCAUGGU